CGAGACUUACCUAGCUUGCUUAGUAAGUUUAGUGGCGGACGGGUGAGUAACACGUGAGCAACCUGCCCAGAAGAAAGGGAUAGCUCGGGGAAACUCGAAUUAAUACCAUAUGUGAUCCUGUGAUGCAUAUCACGGGAAUGAAAGGUGCCUUCGGGUGCCGCUUCUGGAUGGGCUCGCGGCCUAUCAGCUUGAUGGUGAGGUAACGGCUCACCAUGGCAUUGACGGGUAGCUGGUCUGAGAGGACGACCAGUCACACUGGAACUGAGACACGGUCCAGACACCUACGGGUGGCAGCAGUCGAGAAUCAUUCGCAAUGGACGAAAGUCUGACGGUGCGACGCCGCGUGGAGGAUGACGGUCUUCGGAUUGUAAACUCCUGUCAUCGAAGAGUAAGGUUUGCAGGUUAAUACCCUGUAAAAUUGAUAGUAUUCGAAGAGGAAGGGACGGCUAACUUCGUGCCAGCAGCCGCGGUAAUACGAAGGUCCCAAGCGUUGUUCGGAAUCACUGGGCGUAAAGGGAGCGUAGGCGGUGAGGUAAGUCAGAUGUGAAAUUCCAGGGCUCAACCCUGGAACUGCAUCCGAUACUGCCUCACUUGAGUAGUGGAGGGGCAUCUGGAAUUCACGGUGUAGCAGUGAAAUGCGUAGAGAUCGUGAGGAACACUAGUGGCGAAGGCGAGAUGCUGGACACUUACUGACGCUGAGGCUCGAAGGCCAGGGUAGCGAAAGGGAUUAGAUACCCCUGUAGUCCUGGCAGUAAACGGUGCACGUUUGGUGUGAGAAGGUUCGACCCUUUUCGUGCCGGAG
Molecule: ribosomal RNA, 802 nt
Filed under: Verrucomicrobia bacterium SCGC AAA166-M17
Lineage: Bacteria; Pseudomonadati; Verrucomicrobiota
Description: bacterial SSU rRNA
Rfam family: Bacterial small subunit ribosomal RNA
Source: RNAcentral